GACGAACGCUGGCGGCGUGCUUAACACAUGCAAGUCGAACGGAAAGGCCCUGCUUUUGUGGGGUGCUCGAGCGGCGAACGGGUGAGUAACACGCGAGUAUCAUGCCCUUGUCUUUGGGAUAACUUCAGGAAACUGGGGCUAAUACAGGAUAGGAGCUCCUGAUGCAUGGGGGGGGUUGGAAAGAGUCGGCGGUUGGGGAUGGACUAGCGGCUUAUCAGCUGGUUGGUGGGGUAGUGGCUUACCAAGGCUUUGAAGGGUAGCCGGCCUGAGAGGGUGAACGGGCACAUUGGGACUGCGAGACGGCCCAGACUCCAACGGGAGGCAGCAGUGGGGAGUAUUACGCAGUGGGCGGAAGCGUGUGGCAGCAACCCCGCGUGCGUGAUGACGUCCUUCGGGUUGUAAACCGCUUUCGCCUGUGACGAAGCGUUAGUGACGGUACUGGGUAAAGAAGCACCGGCUAACUACGUG
Molecule: ribosomal RNA, 468 nt
Filed under: uncultured bacterium
Lineage: Bacteria
Description: partial 16S ribosomal RNA
Rfam family: Bacterial small subunit ribosomal RNA
Source: RNAcentral